GUCGUCGUCGUCGUCGUCGUCGUCUGUCGUCGUUAACAAUUUUUCAAACAUCUUCUCCUCUGAAACUACUGAAUGGAUUUGAAUGAAACUUAAAAUGAUUGUUCCUUAGAUUAUCCUGCACAAAGUGUGUGCUUCGAUUUUUGAUCCGUCAAAAAACAUGGCCGCCGUUACUUAAAAUAGAACAUAGGGGUCAAAUGCAGUUUUUGGCUUAUAUCUCAAAAACGGAAGCAUUUAGUGCAAAUCUGACAGGAGUAAAAAUGUUCAUUAGGUCAGGAUCUAUCAGCCCAGAAAUUUUCAGAUGAAUCAAACAAACCAUUGUUGGGUUGCUGCCACUUAAUUGGUAAUUUUAAGGAAAUUUUGCAGUUUUUGGUCAUUAUCUUGAAUAUUAUUAUAGAUGAAGAUAAACUGUAAACAGCAAAAAUGAUCAGCAAAGUAAGAUCUACAAAUAGGUUAAUAUGACCAAAAUUGUCAAUUGACCCCGUAAGGGGUAAAUGUCCUUUAAUGACAAUUUUUCACAAUUUGUUCAUCAUAUUUGCUAACUUUAAAAAAUCUUCUCCUCUGAAACUACUGAAUGGAUUUGGAUGAAACUUAGCAUGAUAGUUCCUUAGAUUAUCCUGCACAAAGUGUGUGCUUCGAUUUUUGAUCCGUCAAAAAACAUGGCCGUCCUUACUUUAAAUAGAACAUAGGGGUCAAAUGCAGUUUUUGGCUUAUAUCUCAAAAACGAAAGCAUUUAGAGCAAAUCUGACAUGGGGUAAAAAUGUUUAUUAGGUCAAGAUCUAUCAGCCCUGAAAUUUUCAGACGAAUCAAACAAACCAUUGUUGGGUUGCUGCCACUUAAUUGGUAAUUUUAAGGAAAUUUUGCAGUUUUUGGUCAUUAUCUUGAAUAUCAUUAUAGAUAAAGAUAAACUGUAAACAGCAAAAAUGAUCAGC
This 929-nucleotide long non-coding RNA is filed under the name Mytilus galloprovincialis (Mediterranean mussel). Lineage: Eukaryota; Metazoa; Mollusca; Bivalvia; Mytilida; Mytilidae. The record is from RNAcentral.